GAUGAAGAACGUAGCGAAAUGCGAUAAGUAAUGUGAAUUGCAGAAUUCAGUGAAUCAUCGAAUCUUUGAACGCACAUUGCGCCCGCCAGUAUUCUGGCGGGCAUGCCUGUCUGAGCGUCAUUUCAACCCUCAUGCCCCUAGGGCGUGGUGUUGGGGAUCGGCCAAAGCCCGCGAGGGACGGCCGGCCCCUAAAUCUAGUGGCGGACCCGUCGUGACCUCCUCUGCGAAGUAGUGAUAUUCCGCAUCGGAGAGCGACGAGCCCCUGCCGUUAAACCCCCAACUUUCCAAGGUUGACCUCAGAUCAGGUAGGAAUACCCGCUGAACUUAAGCAUAUCAAUAAGCGGAGGA
This 348-nucleotide unclassified non-coding RNA is filed under the name soil metagenome. Its description in RNAcentral is "partial contains 5.8S ribosomal RNA, internal transcribed spacer 2, and large subunit ribosomal RNA". The stretch from base 1 to 120 matches the Rfam family "5.8S ribosomal RNA", at positions 35 to 154 of the family's 154-position model. The record is from RNAcentral.